UUUCCGUAGGUGAACCUGCGGAAGGAUCAUUAUCCAUCUUAACCAGGUGCGUUCGCGGCCCUCGAGGGUUCUCUCUCGGGUGGUAGGGGUAACACCCUCACGCGUCGCAUUUCUGAAUCCUUUUUUUACGAGCACCUUUCGUUCUCCUUCGGUGGGGCAACCUGCCGCUGGAACUUAACAAAACCUUUUUUUGCAUCUAGCAUUACCUGUUCUGAUACAAACAAUCGUUACAACUUUCAACAAUGGAUCUCUUGGCUCUGGCAUCGAUGAAGAACGCAGC
This 280-nucleotide unclassified non-coding RNA is filed under the name uncultured fungus. Its description in RNAcentral is "sequence contains ITS1, 5.8S rRNA gene". The stretch from base 232 to 280 matches the Rfam family "5.8S ribosomal RNA", at positions 1 to 49 of the family's 154-position model. The record is from RNAcentral. Lineage: Eukaryota; Fungi.